This 207-nucleotide ribosomal RNA is filed under the name uncultured bacterium. Its description in RNAcentral is "partial 16S ribosomal RNA". It matches the Rfam family "Bacterial small subunit ribosomal RNA", at positions 568 to 774 of the family's 1533-position model. The record is from RNAcentral.
CACGUAGGCGGACUUUCAAGUCAGAGGUGAAAUCCCGGAGCUCAACUUCGGAAUUGCCUUUGAUACUGUUGGUCUCGAGUCCGAGAGAGGUGGGUGGAAUUUCUAGUGUAGAGGUGAAAUUCGUAGAUAUUAGGAAGAACACCGGUGGCGAAGGCGGCCCACUGGCUCGGUACUGACGCUGAGGUGCGAAAGCGUGGGGAGCAAACA